GUCUUAUAUUCAAAAAUGAUUUUAAAUUGCAAAUUUAAAGGAGGUGUAUACCUAAGGCUUA
Molecule: transfer RNA, 61 nt
Filed under: Ptilodactylidae sp. 3 ACP-2013
Lineage: Eukaryota; Metazoa; Arthropoda; Insecta; Coleoptera; Ptilodactylidae
Description: tRNA-Cys
Source: RNAcentral